AUCAAGCUAUAUCUAUAUAAUUAUAUAUUAUUUUAUCUGUUGGUCUUGAAACGCCUGCCAUUUGCGUUUGCGUUCGUGCGUGCUUGUGUGUCAGUAGAGAUGCGAGAGUAAAGGAGAGAGACCUUUAACCUUUGAUCAUUUAUUGACACCACCGUUGAGUUGAUGUCAAUAGCUGUACAGAAGAACUACGGGUGCAUGAAGAUUUCAGAUCACAUCAAAGAAUGGCUGCGUUUUGCAGCAUAAUGAGACGGUAGUAAAAUGGAGAGAAAAGAAACUAACUUCCAGAAUAUUUUAUGGAGUUGACACCUAUGUUUCUGUGAAUUUUCUUUAGUUUUAGUGUACUUUUGUGAAUCUACGUUUCUUCGUUGUGAUUUGGUGUGCUGACAUCCAUUGGAUAUACUUUUUAUGCACUUUUUAAUUUUAAAAAAUCAUCUUCAAUUACCCAGUUUUCUCGCUGCACUGUAUUCACAAGCAAAUACUGCAAAACUGUUCAUUAAACAAUCUCCUCCCGUUGUGACAACGGUGUCCUUUUAAUACUUUAUGCUUUAAAGUCUAUUAGUUUAGCUUUAGCUUAUUUCUUGCAACUCCCAAGGGUUGCAACAUCACUUCUCCUUUAAAUAUUUGAAAUUGAAAUAUUUUAAAAUGUUAAUUUUAGCAAAUUCAUUUGCCUUGAUUUAUCACUGCUUAAUUAGUCCCUAUGCGUUUUUCUUUCUGUUGAGUAUCAUAUGCAUCCAUCUUUAUCGUAGAUUGUCAUCAUUUGUUUUACAUAUAAGAUUAAUUGUUAUUGUAUAAUGUAAAUGUCUCCUGUGUUAAUAUGAUUUAAUAAAACGGAACAUUUUAAUCUUCUAUGUGUGUUGUUUCUACCAUGUUUAGAGGACUGCAACGUGUAUGUGUGAAAAUAAAAUAUUCUUUUGUUUGCUAAACAUUUAAAUUACAUUUGAAAACGUUCGUGAAGUUUUUUGAUAAAGGUUGUGAGUACACGUUACUAAAAUAUUACUUCAAUGGGCAUGAUAAACUUUUUAUAAACAUUUGGUGAGAUUAUUAUUCAAGUAUUUUAUGAGACCAUUUUAUAAACAUUAAUAAAAUGUUACAGUUAGCAGCUUAGACUUUGGGGUCUUUAUCUCGAGGUAGCGAAAGGCAUAUAGGUCUGGCAUCUCAGCCCGUGUUUGAUCCUGUAUCACUCAAUGUGAGACGUUGAUACCUGAUUUCAUAAAUGACUCGGGAAAAGUAAAUCCUGGAAAAAAAGAUUUGUACCACUUUUACAAAAUACUCGCUCCGAGUUAAGUGUUGUAUCUCACACUUCAUCUGCAGCUACUGAUUUACUCAAAGACCCCCAAAGUUAUCAGCCAACCUUUAACGUCAGGUCUGUAGAAACUGUCAUUAACUCUCAACAUCUUGAGAGGCAGACGAGGGACAGCAACUAGGCGCAAGGCAAAGCUUUUGUAUGUCUUCACAUGAAAUGAAAUUAUAGUCAUGUUAAUGUUUUUCCUUAUCAGCUUUAAUGUAUUCUAUGAAUGGUGAAACAGAAGAGAUAAAAUCGUUCUUUAGACAUACAGGUGAUUUUUUUAAUUGUGGUCUCUACUGACAUGCAUUGCUACAAUGAUGCGGAUAGCUUGUCUUUGUUAGUCAAGACCGAGCACAACUUUACACAUCGUCGUAUUGUUUAGAUGCGAGAGACCCAAA
This 1683-nucleotide long non-coding RNA is filed under the name Pomacea canaliculata. RNAcentral describes it as "uncharacterized LOC112567708". The record is from RNAcentral. Lineage: Eukaryota; Metazoa; Mollusca; Gastropoda; Architaenioglossa; Ampullariidae.